ACUCACCAUUUUCGACCACCCCUUUUCUCCCUCACCUCUCACUUUCCUCCAUUAACAACCAUUGGAGAGACCUUCGGACCUUCCAAAAAUCAUACCAAACACAUCAAUCCACCCUUAAAUCUUCCAUAAACACCUCCUAGCUACUUGAAUUCAAGAGAAUCAUUGAAGAUUGGCUUCAAAGCUAGAGUGAGAAAGUGUGAAGUUUUGGUGUAAAGUUGGGCCCGAGCGAGACGAAGAAGUAAGUUGCCUGAUUUCUCUCCAGGAUUAGCGAAGGACUUCAGGCUAAGCGAGGAGCGAGAUUGGUCUGGUGCUGGUGGGGAAAGUUUCAAUCGAUGUAUUUUAAAUUUCCAUAUCGCCUUUAUGAUAUUAGAGUCUUGAUGUUUGAGAUACUUAGUUUUCUUUUGAAAUCAAGCAAUACACUCACGGUUAUGUGUCUUCAUACAUAUAAUCGGUUCGCAUUUUGCUGCGAUACUCUGCUUAUUAUUCUUCCUUAUGAAAAAUGAGCUAUACCUGUUUUGUUUUUA
This is a long non-coding RNA of Salvia miltiorrhiza (redroot sage), 524 nucleotides long. RefSeq lists it as uncharacterized. Lineage: Eukaryota; Viridiplantae; Streptophyta; Magnoliopsida; Lamiales; Lamiaceae. The record is from RefSeq and is a predicted model, not a curated record. The transcript has 3 exons.